AGUUUGAUCAUGGCUCAGAUUGAACGCUGGCGGGAUGUUUGUAUACAUGCAAGUCGAACGCAGCACGGACUCGGUCUGGUGGCGAGUGGCGAACGGGUGAGUAAUGUAUCGGAACGUGUCAGUAGUGGGGGAUAACUACGCGAAAGUAGCUACGCUCGUAUACGCCCUUCGGGGGAAAGUGGGGACCUUCUGGCCUGCACUAUUAGAGCGGCCGAUAUCGGAUUAGCUAGUUGGUGGGGUAACGGCUCACCAAGGUGACGAUCCGUAGCUGGUUUGAGAGGACAGACCAGCCGCCACCGACUGAGACACGGCCCAGACUCCCACGGAGGCAGGGGGAAUUUUGGACAAUGGGGGAAAUCCUGAUCCAGCCAUCCUGCAGGGCGAUGAAGGCCUUCGGGUUGUAAAGCACUUUUGGCAGGGAAGAAACGGCACUGUGAUAAUACCCCGUGCAACUGACGGUACCUGCAACAGCAACUGCUAACUACGUGCCAGCAGCCGCGGUACGUAGGGUGCAGCAAGCGACCGGAAUUACCGGGCGUAAAGCGCGCAGGCGGUUCGAAAAAGAAAGAUGUGAAAUCCCAGAGCUUAACUUCAAUCCCAUUUUAACUACCGAAAGCUAGAGGUGUCAGAGGGAGGUGGAAUUCCGCGUGUAGCAGUGAAAUGCGUAGAUAUGGAGGAACACCGAUGGCGAAGGCAGCCUCCUGGGAUAACACUGACGCUCGCGCACGAAAGUGGGGAGCAACAGGAUUAGAUACCCUGGUAAAUCACGCCUCUAAACGAUGUCAACUAGCUGUUGGGGCCGGCCUUGGUAGCGCAGCUAACGCGUGAAGUUGGACCGGCCUGGGGAGUACGGUCGCAAGAUUAAAAAACCUCAAAGGAAUUGACGGGGACUCCGCACAAGCGGUGGAUGAUGUGGAUUAAUUCGAUGCAACGCGAAAACCUUAUCGCCCUUGACAUGUCUGGAAUCCCGAAGAGAUUUGGGAGUGCUCGCAAGAGAACCGGAACACAGGUGCUGUAAGCGCCAGUUGCCGUCAGCUCGUGUCGUGAGAUGCUGGGUCCUCCGCAACGAGCGCGGCCUUUGUCAUUAGUUGCUGUCAGAAAGCGCACUCUAAUGAGACUGCCGGUGACAAACCGGAGGAAGGUGGGGAUGACGUCAAGUCCUCAUGGCCCUUAUGCGGGUAGGGCUUCACACGUCAUACAAUGGUCGGGACAGAGGGUCGCGCCAACCCGCGAGGAGCCAAUCCCAGAAACCCGAUCGUAGUCCGGAUCGCAGUCUGCAACUCGACUGCGAAGUCGGAAUCGCCAGCAAUCGCGGAUCAGCAUGUCGCGGUGAAUACGUUCCCGGGUCUUGUACACACCGCCCGUCACACCAUGGGAGUGGGUUUUACCAGAAGUAGUUAGCCUAACCGUAAGGAGGGCGAUUACCACGGUAGGAUUCAUGACUGGGGUGAAGUCGUAAAAUAAGGUAA
This 1469-nucleotide ribosomal RNA is filed under the name uncultured Bordetella sp. RNAcentral's name for it is "partial 16S-23S ribosomal RNA intergenic spacer". It matches the Rfam family "Bacterial small subunit ribosomal RNA". Lineage: Bacteria; Pseudomonadati; Pseudomonadota; Betaproteobacteria; Burkholderiales; Alcaligenaceae. The record is from RNAcentral.